CCUACGGGUGGCAGCAGUCGAGAAUCAUUCACAAUGGGGGAAACCCUGAUGGUGCGACGCCGCGUGGGGGAAUGAAGGUCUUCGGAUUGUAAACCCCUGUCAUGUGGGAGCAAAUUAAAAAGAUAGUACCACACGAGGAAGAGACGGCUAACUCUGUGCCAGCAGCCGCGGUAAUACAGAGGUCUCAAGCGUUGUUCGGAAUCACUGGGCGUAAAGCGUGCGUAGGCUGUUUCGUAAGUCGUGUGUGAAAGGCGCGGGCUCAACCCGCGGACGGCACAUGAUACUGCGAGAAUAGAGUAAUGGAGGGGGAACCGGAAUUCUCGGUGUAUCAGUGAAAUGCGUAGAUAUCGAGAGGAACACUCGUGGCGAAGGCGGGUUCCUGGACAUUAACUGACGCUGAGGCACGAAGGCCAGGGGAGCGAAAGGGAUUAGAUACCCUUGUAGUC
This 446-nucleotide ribosomal RNA is filed under the name uncultured bacterium. RNAcentral describes it as "partial 16S ribosomal RNA". It matches the Rfam family "Bacterial small subunit ribosomal RNA", at positions 338 to 795 of the family's 1533-position model. The record is from RNAcentral.